UUUAUGGAGAGUUUGAUCCUGGCUCAGGAUGAACGCUGGCGGCGUGCCUAAUACAUGCAAGUCGAGCGAACAGACGAGGAGCUUGCUCCUCUGACGUUAGCGGCGGACGGGUGAGUAACACGUGGAUAACCUACCUAUAAGACUGGGAUAACUUCGGGAAACCGGAGCUAAUACCGGAUAAUAUAUUGAACCGCAUGGUUCAAUAGUGAAAGACGGUUUUGCUGUCACUUAUAGAUGGAUCCGCGCCGCAUUAGCUAGUUGGUAAGGUAACGGCUUACCAAGGCAACGAUGCGUAGCCGACCUGAGAGGGUGAUCGGCCACACUGGAACUGAGACACGGUCCAGACUCCUACGGGAGGCAGCA
Molecule: ribosomal RNA, 363 nt
Filed under: Staphylococcus epidermidis
Lineage: Bacteria; Bacillati; Bacillota; Bacilli; Caryophanales; Staphylococcaceae
Description: bacterial SSU rRNA
Rfam family: Bacterial small subunit ribosomal RNA
Source: RNAcentral